AACGAACGCUGGCGGCGCGCCUAAUACAUGCAAGUCGAGCGAGAAGGUGUAGCAAUACACUUGUAAAGCGGCGAACGGGUGAGGAAUACAUGGGUAACCUACCCUCGAGUGGGGAAUAACUAGCCGAAAGGUUAGCUAAUACCGCAUACGAUUCCAGGACUUCGGUCCUGGAAGGAAGGCACUACCGUGGGUAGUGCGCUCCUGGAUGGGCUCAUGUCCUAUCAGCUUGUUGGUGAGGUAAAGGCUCACCAAGGCUUCGACGGGUAGCUGGUCUGAGAGGACGAUCAGCCACACUGGGACUGAGACACGGCCCAGACUCCUACGGGAGGCAGCAGUGGGGAAUCUUGCCCAAUGGGGGAAACCCUGAGGCAGCAACGCCGCGUGCGGGAUGACGGCCCUCGGGUUGUAAACCGCUUUCAGCAGGGACGAAAUUGACGUACCUGCAGAAGAAGCUCCGGCCAACU
Molecule: ribosomal RNA, 464 nt
Filed under: uncultured bacterium
Lineage: Bacteria
Description: bacterial SSU rRNA
Rfam family: Bacterial small subunit ribosomal RNA
Source: RNAcentral